UCUUUCUCUUCCUUAAAAGCUCAUGUCUUGGGAGUUGCGAUAGUUACUACUGGAUCAGAAGGCUGUAAACUGUCCCCAUCAAAGAUAGUGUUAUGGGAGGGGAAAAUAAAUAUCGUAUUCUCAGUGGUUCUCUGGCAGAUCUUAGAUGAAUAUUGAUGAAUGAUGUUGCAGAUUAUUAACAUUUAGUUAGCUGUAACAUCCUUGGACAAGUAUGAAUCAUGUGAAUGGAACAGUUGCAAUAAAAAUCCAUCUGGAGACUGAUAUCAUAAGAGAUGUCAGGAUGACAGGUACCCAUCCCCCCACCCCUAUGCACACACGCAUGGAAGGUAAAGUAUCGAUGGCUUAUUAUGAUUUAUGGUUCAUGCAUUUGGAGUAAAUACUGACGGGUAGCAUGUGAUGCCCAUGAGCCUAUGGAGUCGAGUAAGAGUGAAUGAGUUUCGUCAGCGCAUUUAUUCAGGCGAGGAAAAGAGCAGAUCACAGACACCGAGAGGCGAGAGAUGGGGAAAAUUUAUUUAUAUUACAGCUGUUUUAGCAGAGGAGAAGCUAAGGUUGUCCCUUGAACCAUAUGAUGAUGAGUUGAUGUUAUCCUAUCCCAAAGAAUUUAUUAUUGCUGCAGAAGAAGUUAUUAUGAGUGAUUGACUUUUGGUUAGUGUUAAGGCAUUUACCGUACUAUCAUUUUCUGGUAAACAAUGAAUGUAUUAUUUGUGUUUCUGACAUGAAAAAAGUUUUCAAUUUCAAGGGGACCCCUUC
This is a long non-coding RNA of Ipomoea triloba (trilobed morning glory), 750 nucleotides long. RefSeq lists it as uncharacterized. Lineage: Eukaryota; Viridiplantae; Streptophyta; Magnoliopsida; Solanales; Convolvulaceae. The transcript has 3 exons. The record is from RefSeq and is a predicted model, not a curated record.